This 619-nucleotide ribosomal RNA is filed under the name uncultured bacterium. Its description in RNAcentral is "bacterial SSU rRNA". The stretch from base 1 to 537 matches the Rfam family "Bacterial small subunit ribosomal RNA", at positions 338 to 873 of the family's 1533-position model. The record is from RNAcentral.
CCUACGGGAGGCAGCAGUGGGGAAUUUUGGACAAUGGGCGCAAGCCUGAUCCAGCAAUGCCGCGUGAGUGAAGAAGGCCUUCGGGUUGUAAAGCUCUUUUGUCAGGGAAGAAACGGUCUACUCUAAUACAGUGGGCUAAUGACGGUACCUGAAGAAUAAGCACCGGCUAACUACGUGCCAGCAGCCGCGGUAAUACGUAGGGUGCAAGCGUUAAUCGGAAUUACUGGGCGUAAAGCGUGCGCAGGCGGUUAUAUAAGUCAGAUGUGAAAUCCCCGGGCUCAACCUGGGAACUGCAUUUGAGACUGUAUGGCUAGAGUGUGUCAGAGGGGGGUAGAAUUCCACGUGUAGCAGUGAAAUGCGUAGAUAUGUGGAGGAAUACCGAUGGCGAAGGCAGCCCCCUGGGAUAACACUGACGCUCAUGCACGAAAGCGUGGGGAGCAAACAGGAUUAGAUACCCUGGUAGUCCACGCCCUAAACGAUGUCUACUAGUUGUCGGACUUAUUGUNUUGUACGUCGAGCUACGCGNGAGUAGACGCCGCGGAGGUACGGUCGCGAGAGUAAACGUUAAAGUAAGUAGUAGACGNGNGAGAGNGACGACGACGACGACGGAGGGAGGAGG